This 199-nucleotide ribosomal RNA is filed under the name Polarella glacialis. Its description in RNAcentral is "partial Bacterial large subunit ribosomal RNA". It matches the Rfam family "Bacterial large subunit ribosomal RNA", at positions 432 to 631 of the family's 2925-position model. Lineage: Eukaryota; Dinophyceae; Suessiales; Suessiaceae. The record is from RNAcentral.
UCUUGACUGAAGAUGGGGGGACCAUCCUCCAAGGCUAAAUACUCCUAACUGACCGAUAGUGAACCAGUACCGUGAGGGAAAGGCGAAAAGAACCCCUGUGAGGGGAGUGAAAUAGAACCUGAAACCGUAUACGUACAAGCAGUAGGAGCAGACUUGUUCUGUGACUGCGUACCUUUUGUAUAAUGGGUCAGCGACUUAU